AUCCUUUCGCAUUGGCGUUUUCAUAGUCAAUGAGGUUCUAUUGAGAUGUGAUUAUUGCUGGUUGAAAACUUUACCCAAUACCCUGCUGGGAUGACUUGAAAUAUAGUCAGCUCUGGCAAUUUUUGUCAGUCUUAUGGAGA
This is a small nuclear RNA of Etheostoma spectabile (orangethroat darter), 140 nucleotides long. RefSeq annotates it as U4 spliceosomal RNA. The record is from RefSeq and is a predicted model, not a curated record. Lineage: Eukaryota; Metazoa; Chordata; Actinopteri; Perciformes; Percidae. The transcript has a single exon.